This 1234-nucleotide ribosomal RNA is filed under the name metagenome. RNAcentral describes it as "bacterial LSU rRNA". It matches the Rfam family "Bacterial large subunit ribosomal RNA", at positions 1564 to 2808 of the family's 2925-position model. The record is from RNAcentral.
UGAAUACGAGAUGCUACGGCGUCGAAGCAGUGUAUGUCAGACUUCCAAGAAAAGCUCGCAAUGUCAUAAAUAAAUAAUGCCUGUACCAUAACCGACACAGGUGGGUAGGUAGAGUAUACUAAGGGGCGCGAGAUAACUCUCUCUAAGGAACUCGGCAAAAUAACUCCGUAACUUCGGGAGAAGGAGUGCCUUAUUUAUAAGGUUGCAAUAACAAGAUCCAAGCAACUGUUUAUCAAAAACACAGGUCUCCGCUAAGUCGUAAGACGAUGUAUGGGGGCUGACGCCUGCCCAGUGCCAGAAGGUUAAAGAAGUUGGUUAGCAUUGCGAAGCUGAUGACUGAAGCCCUGGUGAACGGCGGCCGUAACUAUAACGGUCCUAAGGUAGCGAAAUUCCUUGUCGGGUAAGUUCCGACCCGCACGAAAGGCGUAAUGAUUUGGAUACUGUCUCGGAGAGGGACUCGGUGAAAUAGACUUGUCUGUGAAGAUGCGGACUACCUGCACCAGGACAGAAAGACCCUAUGAAGCUUUACUGUAACUUGAAAUUGAAAUUGGACUUUAUUUGCGCAGUAUAGGUGGGAGGCGUUGAAAAUAAUCUCGCGGGAUUAUUGGAGCCAUCAGUGAGAUACCACUCCUAUAAUGUUAGAUUUCUAACUUUGUAUCAUUAUCUGGUCAAAGAACAGUUUCAGGCGGGCAGUUUGACUGGGGCGGUCGCCUCCUAAAUGGUAACGGAGGCGUACAAAGGUUUCCUCUGAACGGGUAGAAAUCGUAUCUAGAGUAUAAAGGCAUAAGGAAGCUUGACUGUGAGACCUACAAGUCGAGCAGGGACGAAAGUCGGUCUUAGUGAUCUGACGGUGCUGAGUGGAAAGGCCGUCACUCAACGGAUAAAAGUUACUCUAAGGAUAACAGGCUGAUCUCCCCCAAGAGUUCACAUCGACGGGGAGGUUUGGCACCUCGAUGUCGGCUCAUCGCAUCCUGGGGCGGUAGUACGUCCCAAGGGUUGGGCUGUUCGCCCAUGAAAGCGGUACGCGAGCUGGGUUCAGAACGUCGUGAGACAGUUCGGUCCAUAUCCGGUGUAGGCGUUAGAAUAUUGAGAGGAGCCUUCUUUAGUACGAGAGGACCGAGAAGGACAUACCUCUGGUGUACCAGUUAUCGUGCCAACGGUAAACGCUGGGUAGCUAUGUAUGGAGUGGAUAACCGCUGAAAGCAUCUAAGUGGGAAGCCCACCUCAAGAUGAG